UUGACUAAAGGUUCUUUCGCAAUUUAGUAUGUUAUGUUUAUCUUAUUUUCAGCUGUCUCCUCCUCAGACAGAAACACUUGCCUCCUCAAGGCUGCUUGACACCGUGCUUUAUGAUGUCUCCUGUCUCAACAUGUUCAGAUCUCUGCACUGGAUAUGCCGCAGACAGAUGUUAUGUUUCGCUGCGCUAUAGCUCUUUUUCCUGACCCGAAGGACGGGUUGCCCGCCUGUUUCAACCUUCUACAAUAUUUGCAGAACAUUACAUUGUUUUCUAACUCUAGCCAUGGUGACAUUUUGAGCCAAUUCGCGGUGACAUUUUGAGCCAAUUCGCGUUGAAUCUAUAUGUUCUCCCUCCGCCGGCUACAGUGGACGUUGAAGUGACAGCCGGAGUCACCGUAGCUUCGCUAACCGCCUCAUGUAAACCUUGUGAAGAGGCUUCAUUAGUUGAACCUUGCGAAUCCGCCUCGCCUGAUUACUAUUUCUCCUCGUCUCUUAUUCGCUUAAAAUAAACUGUAAUGGGCUUCAUUUUUAGCGAAGUCUGCACGUUAAUUUACAGCCUAUACCAAUACUUUUCCCCCAGUGUUGUUCACCUUUCUCUCACUCUGACUGGACUGCGUCAGCACUGAAAACACUACUGUGGUUGGCGCUUGUGGGGUAAAAAAAAAAUAGAUUACGGUAGAUUGUAGUCUUUACUCGCACACUGUGCUCGUAAAUCAUUUUUCCGGUUCGCACAAAUCAAUUUAAGGGCAAUUCGCUUGUAGAGCCCUGGAUACCUUUUACAGAAUGGUCUUGAGUUGUUAUGAUACGCUAUUUAAACCCACAAGGUUACAAUGAACAUUGGGGCGAGGAGAGUAAUAGUUUACUCCAGCAGACGAUGCAGGUGGAGAGAAUAGAUUACGACAUUGGAGGGGUGCUACUUCACAGCCUGAGUGGGGGACACAGGAUCUGGUGGGGCUCAGUUCCAAGCUGUGUGAGGAGAUCCGUGACAUUUUGACUGUAUCAGUGGCGCCGCACCAAAGUGCAGAGAAUCCCGUUCAACACUACAGCACACUGCUGAGUUUAGCCUCACUGCAAAGCAGCAGAAUCCCUCUCUGUGAUGAAUACACACAUCAUCUCACGCAUGGCUGGACUACUGCUGCCUGUCCACAGCCUUACCACAGUCAGUGAGAAGAUUCGCUGGGAAUCCUUGGCCAGCUGUACCCUCCAACCUGUUCCACAGCUUUCCCCCACAGGGAAAUCUGUAUCCUUCAAACUAUUGUCCAGAUUCAACUCCAAUUGCCGUUUUUAAGAUCAAUGGUGAUAUUUUUUUUUAUGGCAAAUUUUCCCUGAAAUCAAGAGGCCUGUGUUUGGAUAUCUCUCACACCCAAGUCAGACUGUUCUCUCUGCUACCACACAGCAAGUGGCACCAAUGCACCAAGUCUGCAACCAACAGCACCCUGAAAAGCUUCAACCCGCAAGCCAUAAGACUGAUAAAUAGCUAAUCAAAUGGCUCCCUGCAUUGACCCUAUUUUGCAAACUCUCUUGCACUGACUCUAUACACACAUACUGGACUCUACCCACACACUGACACAUACUGGACUCUACCCACACACUGACACAUACUGGACUCUACCCACACACACACA
Molecule: long non-coding RNA, 1622 nt
Organism: Oncorhynchus gorbuscha (pink salmon)
Lineage: Eukaryota; Metazoa; Chordata; Actinopteri; Salmoniformes; Salmonidae
Exons: 4
Source: RefSeq, a predicted model, not a curated record